CAUGUUAGUCCUGCUUCUUUUCAAUCAACGUUCUAAUGGUCAGUUUGUAGAACAUCAGUGUACCAGAUGCUUUACUCUCUCUGGUUUAGUUCAGCAGAGCUCAGGUAUGUAGCGCCUCACUCUGAUUGGCUGCUGUGCUGAAUGUUUCCUUUUUUGUCUCUGUUCUGUGUUGUUUCCUCUGUUAGACCAGAAAAACAUCACAGCUGAGUCUGGGCAGAACAUCUCGCUGCCAUGUGGAGCUCCAACUAAUAAUAAUCAGAUCUUGGCUGUUCAGUGGAGCAGAGCUGACCUGAAGCAAGAAUAUGUGCUUUUGUACAGAGAUGAGGUUUUUGUUCCAGACAACCAGCAUCCAGCUUUUAAGAACCGGGUGGAUCUGCAGGACAGACAGAUGAAGGAUGGAGACGUGUCUUUGAUUCUGAAGAAUGUGACAUUUAACGACACUGGAACAUACGAGUGUCGCAUCUUCAGGAGAGGAACAAACCACAGGAUUAGUACCAUCACCUUGAGUGUUGUUCCUCCAGGUCCACCACAAGGACACACAGCAGACAGAGAGGAGGAGGGUGGAGUCAGCAGAGGACACUUUGGACUGGCAGCUGCUGUUGUUGUUGCUUAUCUAAUCAUCAUUGCUGUGAUGGCUGCUGUUUUGAUCUCCCGUUAAUUGAUAUACGUCUAUAUGGGUGAAUGAGACAUGUUGUAUAAAGUGCUUUGAGUGCUCCAGGAGAGUAGAAAAGCGCUAUAUAAGAAUAAGUCCAUUUACCAUCAUUUACACCAGCAGCACCACCAGCACUGGACUCCCUGUCAGAGCGGUGAAUGUUGUCCAGGAUAAAGACAAUGUUGGAUAAUACCUCCCACCAAUGUUCCCUCUAAGCUGCGCAAUUGCGCACUGCUGGCACGGUCUCUGCACACAAAAAAUCUGCGUUGCGCACAAAAAAAUCUAACCUGAAUUGAAAUUAAAAUUAAAACUUUAACAAUUCUGUUUUGCAGUGUUAGUAAGUGACUGGCUGCUCCUGUAUGGGAUUAGAACGAUGCCACCUUAUCCCAUAGUCCAGCCAAUCACGCGAUUCACUUUCUUAUAUAUGCAGCUAAUCAACGUCGUUGACAGGCUAUGACAGCGUUCUUAUGUGCCGACACCGGUGUUUUAGCUAGCAAAGCGGCGUGGCUGAUGAGGAG
Long non-coding RNA from Oreochromis aureus, 1170 nucleotides. Lineage: Eukaryota; Metazoa; Chordata; Actinopteri; Cichliformes; Cichlidae. The record is from Ensembl.